This 72-nucleotide transfer RNA is filed under the name Phrynosoma platyrhinos (Desert horned lizard). RNAcentral describes it as "tRNA-OTHER". The record is from RNAcentral. Lineage: Eukaryota; Metazoa; Chordata; Lepidosauria; Squamata; Phrynosomatidae.
GGCAGCAUGGUGUAGUGGUUUGAGUGUUGGACUACCACUCUGGAGACCUGGGUUUGAUUCCGCACUCUGCCA